UUAGGUUCAGCGGGUAGUCCUACCUGAUUUGAGAUCAAAUUGUCAAUAAAGAUUGUCUCUUGAAGAGACGGUUAUGAGCAGGUCCCCACAAGUCUUGUAUCAGAGUCAGGCGGCGUAGAUAAUUAUCACACCAAGUGACCAUCCACAAAGGAAUCCACUAAUGAAUUUAAAGGGAGCAGACCAUCCAACUGAAUGGAAGC
This 200-nucleotide unclassified non-coding RNA is filed under the name Mycena sp. RNAcentral describes it as "partial internal transcribed spacer 2". Lineage: Eukaryota; Fungi; Basidiomycota; Agaricomycetes; Agaricales; Mycenaceae. The record is from RNAcentral.